CGCCCAGACUCCUACGGGAGGCAGCAGUGGGGGAUAUUGCACAAUGGGGGGAACCCUGAUGCAGCGACGCCGCGUGGGUGAAGGAGUGCUUCGGCAUGUAAAGCCUUAUCGGCAGGGAAGAAGCAAGACGGUACCUGACUAAGAAGCCCCGGCUAACUACGUGCCAGCAGCCGCGGUAAUACGUAGGGGGCAAGCGUUAUCCGGAUUUACUGGGUGUAAAGGGAGCGUAGACGGCGAAGAAAGUCUGAAGUGAGAGCCCGCGGCUCAACCGCGGAAUGGCUUUGGAAACUUUUUUGCUGGAGUACCGGAGAGGUAAGCGGAAUUCCUAGUGUAGCGGUGAAAUGCGUAGAUAUUAGGAGGAACACCAGUGGCGAAGGCGGCUUACUGGACGGUAACUGACGUUGAGGCUCGAAAGCGUGGGGAGCAAACAGGAUUAGAUACCCUCGUACC
RNAcentral lists this ribosomal RNA (450 nucleotides) under uncultured bacterium. Its description in RNAcentral is "bacterial SSU rRNA". It matches the Rfam family "Bacterial small subunit ribosomal RNA", at positions 328 to 794 of the family's 1533-position model. The record is from RNAcentral.